Molecule: ribosomal RNA, 465 nt
Filed under: uncultured bacterium
Lineage: Bacteria
Description: partial 16S ribosomal RNA
Rfam family: Bacterial small subunit ribosomal RNA
Source: RNAcentral
CCUACGGGUGGCAGCAGUGGGGAAUAUUGCGCAAUGGGCGAAAGCCUGACGCAGCGACGCCGCGUGAGGGAUGAAGGUCUUCGGAUCGUAAAUCUCUGUCAGCAGGGAAGAACGGUCACUGUGCUAAUCAGCAGUGAAUUGACGGUACCUGCAAAGGAAGCACCGGCUAACUCCGUGCCAGCAGCCGCGGUAAUACGGAGGGUGCGAGCGUUAAUCGGAAUUACUGGGCGUAAGGCGCUCGUAGGCGGUAUGUCAAGUCAAGGGUGAAAGCCCCGUGCUCAACGUGGGAACUGCCUUUGAAACUGGCAAGCUGGAGUGUGUGAGAGGAUAGUGGAAUUCCAGGUGUAGGAGUGAAAUGCGUAGAUAUCUGGAGGAACAUCAGUGGCGAAGGCGACUAUCUGGCACGUAACUGACGCUGAGGAGCGAAAGCGUGGGUAGCAAACAGGAUUAGAUACCCGAGUAGUC